This 26-nucleotide transfer RNA is filed under the name Cervus elaphus xanthopygus (Manchurian Wapiti). Its description in RNAcentral is "partial tRNA-Lys". The record is from RNAcentral. Lineage: Eukaryota; Metazoa; Chordata; Mammalia; Artiodactyla; Cervidae.
AAGAAGCUAAAAUAGCACUAGCCUUU